Molecule: long non-coding RNA, 2169 nt
Organism: Malania oleifera
Lineage: Eukaryota; Viridiplantae; Streptophyta; Magnoliopsida; Santalales; Ximeniaceae
Exons: 2
Source: RefSeq, a predicted model, not a curated record
UGGAGCAGUGCUCUCCGUUCCUAAUUCUUUUUGUAUUGUUCUUUCAUGUCGAGUCACUCCUCUUCCUCUCUCUCUCUCUCUCUCUCUCUCUCUCUCUCUCUCUCACACACACACACACACACACACCCCUGUUCAUACUGUUUGUUAUCUCUCCUAUGGAAUUUAUGUCCGUUGAAUGGCAUGGCUGAGGGUAAUCUCUAGAAAUCAGAUUUGAAGGUAAGACUUGUGAUCUUUGGUUGGAGAAGGUAGGAGGAUGGUGUUCUGUUUAUUAGAGAAGAAUCUGGUUUGCGAACAUUAGAGUAGUGUUUUGUUGAGGGUGGCACAAUGAAUCUACAAUUGCUUUCUCUGAGUUUGGUUGGUUGAUUCAUCCUGUUUGUAGGAGUUUUUGGAGGUUCAAUUAUUGGGUGGCUGUUAGAUCUACUUGAAGGGACACAUUAUUUGAUGUUGGGUUGUGUUUGAAUGGGAAAGGAUCUUUGAUUUAUGUUCUUGUUGUAGGAAGGGAGAUCACUGGGGUUGUUUCCUUGGGGUGUUCUUGAAUUAGCUGUCAGUAUGAUGGAGCUGUAGUAGUUCCACUUUCUGAAUGUGAGGUGAUUUGAGAGUUGGAAAUAAAGAAUGGAACAAUGUAGUGACUGAUCUCUAAGUUUGGUUUGUGUUGCAUUCCGGAUGUGCAAAGUGGUGGGGGCCUGGAAAUGGUGCAGUGGAUGUGAGGUGUCUGUAGUUUACUGCAGGAGGAAGGAGAGGAUGGAGGGGGAUUUUGGGGGUGGAGCCUGAAGUACACUCAGCUAUGCUUUGGAGUGGACCUGGGUUGAUCAGUAUUGCUGCCAAAGAUUGCCAAAUUAAAUUGGUGCAGCCAUAGCUGUUAGGAAGUGGAUUGAGAAGGAAAACAACAAUGUUGGUAGGAGGCUUAGGUGCCUUUUGGUGUUUGCAGGAAUAUUUUUGUUUAUUUUGUGCUACAAGAUUCCAGGGAAUGCAAUCAGGAUGACUGUGUUUGGUUCAGCAUGGGUAUUCUAGCACACCAUUUCAAUUGCCAUCAUACCUUGAACAACAAUUCUAUUUUUCCUGCAAAAGCUAAGAAUGUACCAAAUUUUAUCCAUAUCCUAAAAAUCUCAACCAUCAUAAAUAUUGAAAAAAAAAAUCCAACUCAAUUAUGAUUUCAUUUUUAUUGAUUUCUAUAUGCAAGUAUUAUGAUAAUUUAUUGUGAUAGUUAUAAUCAUAUCAUGCAAUGAUAUUAAAUUACAUUAUUAUGGGGCUUUAAUAUCGUACUGACCAAAAUAGUUAGGUCACUUUAGUUUCAAAAUUAGGAUGCUGAUGGAGGAAUGGGAUUUCCAUGAAACAUGCCUGUGGGAGAGCAUGGCAUAGGAUUUCCAUGUUUUGUGGGAAUCCUUCUCUCUCAGGGAAUGUGAGAUUACCUUCAUGUCACUUUUCUACCCCCGAGAAAUGUAGGAAUGGGCUGCCAUGGCUAUCAGAUUCCCAGCAACGCUGAAAGAUCCUACUAACCAAACACCUCAGGAACUUUAGAGACCUGGCACAGACAAAACCACAUAUGACAUGUUAAGGACGACACCAUGUCAUGAUUCACCUGUACAGCAUACAGCGAGGCAUGCUGGUGGCUGUGGGGAAUUUCAACAAGCAAGAGCAUCUGAACUUUGGCAACAACGAAUACAUUUAUCUUUUUUGGUACAGGUGGCAUCUUCACGGAAAGAGGAAAACUGAGAUGAUUUGAGGGAAAUUCAGGAAAAAGUGAGGGUAUUUGUCAAAGAAGAUUGAUAUACAGCAGGUGAUUCCAUCAAGUAAUCAGAAGCACAAAAUUCUUGGGAAAAGAACAGGGAUUUGGAGUGACGUAUAUGAAGUUUAUCAAAAGCACUGGUGACAGGAGGUUUUCACUGGUGGGGAGGGAGUAUAAUUUAGUGAUUGGGUCUAGCAAUUGUGAGGGCAGUGAUGUGGCUUUGAACACAAAAUGGGGAGAUGAGUCUAGAGUAAAUUUGGUAGUUAUAUGGAUGUGAUUAUGAUUUAUUAUUGGAUGAAAUUUUAGCACCAUUUUAGUUAUAACUUGAAUGAUUUUUUGCAUGCUAGAGAUCCCUGUUAUUUUACCUGUUAUGGGAUCGUUAUGCUUUUGCUACACAAGUUGGAGUCCAUCCAAAAAUUAUUUAUACAGCAAUUUUCUGUCUA